ACAUUUUUUUUCCCUCUGGGGUCUGUGAUUUUAGGCUCGAAUGGAGCAGGACAGAUUCCGUGGACCAUACGUCGACUUAUAGCAUUCGGUGUGGGAUAUGGCCUAGGUGUUUUUGUACUUGGAGAUAAGGUAGCAGAAGUUGAGGAGGAUCGUCAAAAGUAUGUGAGGGAUGUUUAUGGGGAGUCAUCGAAAAUCGUCGAUCUGAGGCAGGAGAUGUGGAAAUUUUGAGGUCUCUUGCAGAAGUCAUUUCAAGUAUCGCCGUAACAAAUACUGCUGCUAUAAUUUGUGUCUCUCUCUUGCUUUCUCGAAUUUAAGUUGCGGCUCGGUUUGCCCAAUUCUUACUACGUAAGUGAACUAAAGUUAAUGUUUGAGGAGAAAUCUUGUUGCUUAGUGGUGUGAAUGAAAGAACAUUCAUGGAUAGUGUUAUAUGAUGAUACUAAGGGGUUCUGUUGCUUGCGUAA
Raphanus sativus (radish) is the source of this 461-nucleotide long non-coding RNA. RefSeq lists it as uncharacterized. The transcript has 3 exons. Lineage: Eukaryota; Viridiplantae; Streptophyta; Magnoliopsida; Brassicales; Brassicaceae. The record is from RefSeq and is a predicted model, not a curated record.